AAAGGAAUAGACGGGAACUCGCACAAGCGGUGGAGCAUGCGGUUUAAUUCGAUGCAACGCGAAGAACCUUACCAGGUCUUGACAUCCCACUGACCGGUCUAGAGAUAGAUCUUUCCUUCGGGACAGUGGUGACAGGUGGUGCAUGGUUGUCGUCAGCUCGUGUCGUGAGAUGUUGGGUUAAGUCCCGCAACGAGCGCAACCCUUAUCAUUAGUUGCUAACAUUAAGUUGAGGACUCUAAUGAGACCGCCGAUGAUAAAUCGGAUGAAGGUGGGGAUGACGUCAAAUCAUCAUGCCCCUUAUGACCUGGGCUACACGCGUGCUACAAUGGCUAGUACAAAGAGCUGCGAAGUCGCGAGAUGGAGCAAAUCUCAUAAAGCUAGUCUCAGUUCGGAUUGUAGUCUGCAACUCGACUACAUGAAGUUGGAAUCGCUAGUAAUCGCGAAUCAGAAUGUCGCGGUGAAUACGUUCUCGAGUUUUGUACACACCGCCCGU
Molecule: ribosomal RNA, 493 nt
Filed under: uncultured bacterium
Lineage: Bacteria
Description: bacterial SSU rRNA
Rfam family: Bacterial small subunit ribosomal RNA
Source: RNAcentral